GACGUAGGGCGCGAGCGUUGUCCGGAUUUAUUGGGCGUAAAGAGCUCGUAGGCGGCUUGUCGCGUCGAAUGUGAAAACCUGCAGCUCAACUGCAGGCUUGCAUUCGAUACGGGCAGGCUCGAGUUCGGUAGGGGAGACUGGAAUUCCUGGUGUAGCGGUGGGAUGCGUAGAGAUCCGGAAGAACACCUGCGGCGAAGGCGGGUUGCUGGGCUGACACUGACGCUGAUGCGCGAAAGCUAGGGGAGCGAACGGG
Molecule: ribosomal RNA, 253 nt
Filed under: uncultured bacterium
Lineage: Bacteria
Description: partial 16S ribosomal RNA
Rfam family: Bacterial small subunit ribosomal RNA
Source: RNAcentral